UAUCCACCGGUCAUAUACAAAGCACCACCACGUCUUACGCCAUCAUUCCUAAUUCCACACAACCUGAAGUGAGACUUCAAGUAACUAUAUCUAAGUAUUGAUAAAAUCUUUUGCUGUUUGAAACCUAUUGAAGGAGAUUGAACAUGAUUUGCCGGUUUGGAAUAGUUUUCUUGCUUGUGGCCUGCGUGGUUAUGACAUCCGCUGCGCCAAGAGACAGGGGGUCUUGCACCAGGGGUUGCAGGUGCUUGCCUGAGUACGAGCCCGUAUGCGGCAGCGAUGGACGCACCUACGCGAGUAGGUAUGUCAUAUUAUGCGACAUGGACAAACCGGAAAGCCUCCAAAUAGCAUACCAAGGCGAAUGCAGACCGAAACGAGAGACCAAUCUACAGUUUAAUAAUAAUUUUAAUGUUUAAAAAGUCGUAUGUUGUUACCCUAAAUUGUAAGUUGUAUUUUUAUUAUA
Molecule: long non-coding RNA, 460 nt
Organism: Maniola jurtina (meadow brown)
Lineage: Eukaryota; Metazoa; Arthropoda; Insecta; Lepidoptera; Nymphalidae
Exons: 2
Source: RefSeq, a predicted model, not a curated record